This 305-nucleotide ribosomal RNA is filed under the name uncultured bacterium. RNAcentral's name for it is "bacterial SSU rRNA". It matches the Rfam family "Bacterial small subunit ribosomal RNA", at positions 338 to 661 of the family's 1533-position model. The record is from RNAcentral.
CCUACGGGGGGCAGCAGUGGGGAAUAUUGGGCAAUGGGGGAAACCCUGACCCAGCGACGCCGCGUGAGGGAAGAAGGUUUUCGGAUUGUAAACCUCUGUCCUUGGUGACGAUAAUGACGGUAGCCAAGGAGGAAGCCACGGCUAACUACGUGCCAGCAGCCGCGGUAAUACGUAGGUGGCAAGCGUUGUCCGGAAUUACUGGGUGUAAAGGGAGCGUAGGCGGGAAAGCAAGUUGAAUGUUUAAGGUACGGGCUCAACCUGUACAAGCGUUCAAAACUGUUUUUCUUGAGUGGAGUAGAGGUAAG